GAUGAACGCUGGCGGCGUGCCUAAUACAUGCAAGUCGAGCGAACGGACGAGAAGCUUGCUUCUCUGAUGUUAGCGGCGGACGGGUGAGUAACACGUGGAUAACCUACCUAUAAGACUGGGAUAACUUCGGGAAACCGUAGCUAAUACCGGAUAAUAUUUUGAACCGCAUGGUUCAAAAGUGAAGGACGGUCUUGCUGUCACUUAUAGAUGGAUCCGCGCUGCAUUAGCUAGUUGGUAAGGUAACGGCUUACCAAGGCAACGAUGCAUAGCCGACCUGAGAGGGUGAUCGGCCACACUGGAACUGAGACACGGUCCAGACUCCUACGGGAGGCAGCAGUAGGGAAUCUUCCGCAAUGGGCGAAGGCCUGACGGAGCAACGCCGCGUGAGUGAUGAAGGUCUUCGGAUCGUAAAACUCUGUUAUUAGGGAAGAACAUAUGUGUAAGUAACUGUGCACAUCUUGACGGUACCUAAUCAGAAAGCCACGGCUAACUACGUG
RNAcentral lists this ribosomal RNA (497 nucleotides) under uncultured bacterium. Its description in RNAcentral is "partial 16S ribosomal RNA". It matches the Rfam family "Bacterial small subunit ribosomal RNA", at positions 28 to 507 of the family's 1533-position model. The record is from RNAcentral.